This 76-nucleotide transfer RNA is filed under the name Burkholderia pyrrocinia. RNAcentral describes it as "tRNA-Ile". It matches the Rfam family "tRNA". From Rfam's summary of the family: Transfer RNA (tRNA) molecules are approximately 80 nucleotides in length. Their secondary structure includes four short double-helical elements and three loops (D, anti-codon, and T loops). Lineage: Bacteria; Pseudomonadati; Pseudomonadota; Betaproteobacteria; Burkholderiales; Burkholderiaceae. The record is from RNAcentral. RNAcentral also lists the same sequence under 1 other name.
GGGCCUCUAGCUCAUGCUUGGUUAGAGCAGCGGGCUCAUAACCCUUUGGUGCCGCGCUCGACUCGCGGGAGACCCA